GAUGAACGCUGGCGGCGUGCCUAAUACAUGCAAGUCGAGCGAACGGACGAGAAGCUUGCUUCUCUGAUGUUAGCGGCGGACGGGUGAGUAACACGUGGAUAACCUACCUAUAAGACUGGGGUAACUUCGGGAAACCGGAGCUAAUACCGGAUAAUAUUUUGAACCGCAUGGUUCAAAAGUGAAAGACGGUCUUGCUGUCACUUAUAGAUGGAUCCGCGCUGCAUUAGCUAGUUGGUAAGGUAACGGCUUACCAAGGCGACGAUGCAUAGCCGACCUGAGAGGGGGGUAGGCCACACGGGAAGUGAGACACGGUCCAGGCUACUAAGGGAGGGAGCAGUAGGGAAUCUGACGCAAUGGGCGAAAGCCUGACGGAGCGACGGCGCGUGAGUGAUGAAGGUCUUCGGUUCGUAAAACUCUGUUAUUAGGGAAGAACAGAUGUGUAAGUAACUGUGCACAUCUUGACGGUACCUAAUCAGAAAGCCACGGCUAACUACGUG
This 497-nucleotide ribosomal RNA is filed under the name uncultured bacterium. Its description in RNAcentral is "partial 16S ribosomal RNA". It matches the Rfam family "Bacterial small subunit ribosomal RNA", at positions 28 to 507 of the family's 1533-position model. The record is from RNAcentral.